This 334-nucleotide ribosomal RNA is filed under the name Serratia marcescens. RNAcentral describes it as "partial 23S ribosomal RNA". It matches the Rfam family "Bacterial large subunit ribosomal RNA", at positions 2597 to 2925 of the family's 2925-position model. The record is from RNAcentral. Lineage: Bacteria; Pseudomonadati; Pseudomonadota; Gammaproteobacteria; Enterobacterales; Yersiniaceae.
UACGCGAGCUGGGUUUAGAACGUCGUGAGACAGUUCGGUCCCUAUCUGCCGUGGGCGUUGGAAGAUUGAGAGGGGUUGCUCCUAGUACGAGAGGACCGGAGUGAACGCACCACUGGUGUUCGGGUUGUCAUGCCAAUGGCAUUGCCCGGUAGCUAAGUGCGGAAAAGAUAAGCGCUGAAAGCAUCUAAGCGCGAAACUUGCCUCAAGAUGAGUCUUCCCUGGGCCUUUAAGGCCCCUGAAGGAACGUUUAAGACUAAGACGUUGAUAGGCUGGGUGUGUAAGUGCAGCGAUGCAUUGAGCUAACCAGUACUAAUGAUCCGUGAGGCUUAACCUU